GCCUGGGUUUGGAUUUGUGGCAGGCCUGUCCCCCUGGGCCCCUCAUGGUGUCCCAUGCUAGAGAAGACCAUAGCCCCAAACCAUUGCCUGGCCUAGUUCAUAGGCCACAGCACUGGAGUGGGUUGCCUGGUG
Molecule: small nucleolar RNA, 132 nt
Filed under: Dasypus novemcinctus (nine-banded armadillo)
Lineage: Eukaryota; Metazoa; Chordata; Mammalia; Cingulata; Dasypodidae
Description: Small nucleolar RNA SNORA42/SNORA80 family (ENSDNOG00000042164.1)
Rfam family: Small nucleolar RNA SNORA42/SNORA80 family
About the family: The members of this family belong to the H/ACA class of snoRNAs that guide the sites of modification of uridines to pseudouridines. Human ACA42 (SNORA42) was cloned from HeLa cells by immunoprecipitation with anti-GAR1 antibody. Its is predicted to guide the pseudouridylation of residues U109 and U572 of 18S rRNA.
Source: RNAcentral